AUGCGAGUUGCGCGAGAAUGUAGCAAUACAGGACAGCGGCGAAAGGGAGAGGACAACAUGGGAAUCUGCCCUGGGGACGAGGAUAGCGUCGGGAAACUGACAGUAAUACUCGAUAAUGUUUGCGGACCAAAGGUGUAAUUCCGCCCCAGGAUGAGCCCGUGCCCCAUUAGCUUGUUGGCAGGGUAACGGCCUACCAAGGCUAUGAUGGGUAGCUGGUGUGAGAGCACGACCAGCCUCACUGGCACUGAGACACUGGCCAGACACCUACGGGUGGCUGCAGUCGAGAAUCUUUGGCAAUGGACGAAAGUCUGACCAAGCGACGCCGCGUGCGGGACGAAGGCCUUCGGGUUGUAAACCGCUGUCGUAGGAAAUCAAAUGUACGGGGGUUCUCCCCUGUAUUUGAGAGAUCCUAGGAGGAAGGAGAGGCUAAGCUCGUGCCAGCAGCCGCGGUAAGACGAGCUCUCCAAACGUUAUUCGGUAUCACUGGGCUUAAAGAGUUCGUAGGCGGCCUAGCAGGUCAGGUGUGAAAUCCCACAGCUCAACUGUGGAAUAGCGCUUGAAACCGUUAGGCUUGAGGGAGAUAGAGGUAGGCGGAACAGAUGGUGGAGCGGUGAAAUGCGUUGAUAUCAUCUGGAACACCGGUGGCGAAAGCGGCCUACUGGGUCUUUUCUGACGCUGAGGAACGAAAGCUAGGGUAGCGAACGGGAUUAGAUACCCCGGUAGUCCUAGCCGUAAACGAUGAGCACUAGUCCGAGGGAACCCUCACAUUUUCUCGGACGUAGCGAAAGUGUUAAGUGCUCCGCCUGGGGAGUACGGCCGCAAGGCUAAAACUCAAAGGAAUUGACGGGGGC
This 851-nucleotide ribosomal RNA is filed under the name uncultured Planctomycetota bacterium. RNAcentral's name for it is "bacterial SSU rRNA". It matches the Rfam family "Bacterial small subunit ribosomal RNA", at positions 55 to 920 of the family's 1533-position model. Lineage: Bacteria; Pseudomonadati; Planctomycetota. The record is from RNAcentral.